CCUACGGGAGGCAGCAGUGGGGAAUAUUGGACAAUGGGCGAAAGCCUGAUCCAGCAAUGCCGCGUGAGUGAUGAAGGCCUUAGGGUUGUAAAGCUCUUUUACCAGGGAUGAUAAUGACAGUACCUGGAGAAUAAGCUCCGGCUAACUCCGUGCCAGCAGCCGCGGUAAUACGGAGGGAGCUAGCGUUGUUCGGAAUUACUGGGCGUAAAGCGUACGUAGGCGGUUAUUCAAGUCAGAGGUGAAAGCCUGGAGCUCAACUCCAGAACUGCCUUUGAAACUAGAUAGCUAGAAUCUUGGAGAGGUGAGUGGAAUUCCGAGUGUAGAGGUGAAAUUCGUAGAUAUUCGGAAGAACACCAGUGGCGAAGGCGACUCACUGGACAAGUAUUGACGCUGAGGUACGAAAGCGUGGGGAGCAAACAGGAUUAGAUACCCUGGUAGUCCACGCCGUAAACGAUGAUAACUAGCUGUUCGGGCUCUACGAGCUUGAGUGGCGCNGCUACGCAUUAAGUUAUCCGUCCGUCGGGAGGUACGGUCGCGAAGAAUUAAACUAACAAAGAAAGUUAGACGGCGUGAGACGUGCCGACGGACGACGACGAGGGAGGUAGG
Molecule: ribosomal RNA, 606 nt
Filed under: uncultured bacterium
Lineage: Bacteria
Description: bacterial SSU rRNA
Rfam family: Bacterial small subunit ribosomal RNA (bases 1-517)
Source: RNAcentral